RNAcentral lists this ribosomal RNA (253 nucleotides) under uncultured bacterium. RNAcentral describes it as "partial 16S ribosomal RNA". It matches the Rfam family "Archaeal small subunit ribosomal RNA", at positions 474 to 727 of the family's 1478-position model. The record is from RNAcentral.
UACCAGCACCCCGAGUGGUCGGGACGAUUAUUGGGCCUAAAGCAUCCGGAGCCGGUUCUACAAGUCUUCCGUUAAAUCCACCUGCUUAACAGAUGGGCUGCGGAGGAUACUAUAGAGCUAGGAGGCGGGAGAGGCAAGCGGUACUUAGUGGGUAGGGGUAAAAUCCGUUGAUCCAUUGAAGACCACCAGUGGCGAAGGCGGCUUGCCAGAACGCACUCGACGGUGAGGGAUGAAAGCUGGGGGAGCAAACCGG